GUGUAGCUCAGUGGUAGAGUACCUGCCUAGCAAGCAAGAGGCCCUGAGUUCCAUCUCAGUAC
This 62-nucleotide transfer RNA is filed under the name Heterocephalus glaber (naked mole-rat). It matches the Rfam family "tRNA", at positions 5 to 66 of the family's 71-position model. From Rfam's summary of the family: Transfer RNA (tRNA) molecules are approximately 80 nucleotides in length. Their secondary structure includes four short double-helical elements and three loops (D, anti-codon, and T loops). Lineage: Eukaryota; Metazoa; Chordata; Mammalia; Rodentia; Bathyergidae. The record is from Rfam by way of RNAcentral.